AUUGAACGCUGGCGGCAGGCCUAACACAUGCAAGUCGAACGAGUGGCGGACGGGUGAGUAAUGUCUGGGAAAUUGCCUGAUGGAGGGGGAUAACUACUGGAAACGGUAGCUAAUACCGCAUACCAUCGGAUGUGCCCAGCUGGGAUUACCUAUUAGGUGGGGUGAAGGCUCACCUAGGCGCUGAUCCCUAGCUGUGCUGAGAGGAUGACCAGCCACACUGGAACUGAGACACGGUCCAGACUCAUACGGGAGGCAGCAGUGGGGAAUAUUGCACAAUGGGCGCAAGCCUGAUGCAGCCAUGCCGCGUGUAUGAAGAAGGCCUUCGGGUUGUAAAGUACUUUCAGCGAGGAGGCGUUACCCGCAGAAGAAGCACCGGCUAACUCCGGGCCAGCAGCCGCGGUAAUUC
This 406-nucleotide ribosomal RNA is filed under the name uncultured bacterium. RNAcentral's name for it is "partial 16S ribosomal RNA". It matches the Rfam family "Bacterial small subunit ribosomal RNA", at positions 30 to 526 of the family's 1533-position model. The record is from RNAcentral.